CGCGUAGGCGGUUAAUUAAGUCAGGUGUGAAAACUGUGGGCUCAACCCAGAGACUGCAUCUGAUACUGGAUAACUUGAGUGCAGGAGAGGGCAGUGGAAUUCCUAGUGUAGCGGUGAAAUGCGUAGAUAUUAGGAGGAACACCAGUGGCGAAGGCGGCUGCCUGGACUGUAACUGACGCUGAGGCGCGAAAGCGUGGGGAGCGAACA
Molecule: ribosomal RNA, 207 nt
Filed under: uncultured Bacillota bacterium
Lineage: Bacteria; Bacillati; Bacillota
Description: uncultured Firmicutes bacterium partial 16S ribosomal RNA
Rfam family: Bacterial small subunit ribosomal RNA
Source: RNAcentral